Molecule: long non-coding RNA, 982 nt
Organism: Dermacentor silvarum
Lineage: Eukaryota; Metazoa; Arthropoda; Arachnida; Ixodida; Ixodidae
Exons: 8
Source: RefSeq, a predicted model, not a curated record
AAUAGCUGCUGGGAGAGCUUUAUUUUCGCUACGCAGCAGCAGAUGCCUCGAUUGCUGCGUCGGCGUAGGUUGUCACCCCCACGUAUUGUACGAUCACCAUCCGAGGACUUCGAGAGGGACGAGUCGACGGCUACGACGCAUAGAGUGAAGUAAAAUGAAUAUACGGCAGGGUGCCCUGUUUAUUGUGACGGCAAGCUGUGUGUCAUCAAUUUGUGACGAAUGCUGGCGAGCCAAUGAAUGGAAAGUGAUAUGCUAUGACUAUAAUGUGCCGGAAGAUUUGUGCCCCGGAGUUCCUGCGACAUAUUGCAAGAAAAAGACAAGGCGAUGUGUUUGCGGCUGCGCAACUGGAACGUUUCGUAGAAUGGACUGGGAAUGCGUGCCGUAUAGAGAAUGCGAACACAGGAUCAUGGAACCAAUGCUCCUGCUGACGAGCGACGAAGACCUAAUCAUGGUGGGCGUUUCGGGAGACAUGUACCGAUGGGCUCCGGUCAGCUGCUUUAAAUCUCAAUUUAUUUCCUAUAAUAAUCAAGAACUCCGGCGCACCAUACAAUACGAAUCAGAUCGUUACGCAAAGUAAUGUUACGUUGGAGGUAGAGAUGCACAAGGGCGGAAAAGCAGCUGAUAUAAAGAUCAAUCCGGGACAAAAACCACCUUUACACGUGAACCCAAAGUACGAAAUUUUGUAUGCUACUAAACACUGCCUUAUUUUUGGUACCAUGCCGCAGCCAAAACUUAGAACAUACUGCACCUACUGGGUCAAGAAGAGCGCUGUGAAGAAUCGGAACUGGGCUUGUGACUUCAUCUUAAACCAUUACUGCCGAAGCCCGGAAAUUGUGAUUAAGGAUACAGAAGUCUGUUGGCCUGAAGGAAAUGCAUAAAGAUAGAAAUGAAUUGUACCAACACAAUCGACGAUGAUUUCCAAUGUGAGCGAAAAGCCGGAAGCUUCUAGAGAGGUAAUCGCUUGAUUAAAGAAUGGUACUCU